Molecule: non-coding RNA, 1596 nt
Organism: Xiphophorus hellerii (green swordtail)
Lineage: Eukaryota; Metazoa; Chordata; Actinopteri; Cyprinodontiformes; Poeciliidae
Source: the annotation of a RefSeq genome assembly
CAGGCUACAUUAGCAUGACAGUAAUGUAAGGGGUUGAAUGAACUGUGCUUCAGGAAUGGUGAGACAGCAGCUAUUCAGCUGAGGCCUUGUAGCGUGUUUUACUAGACAAACACUGUAGAAUCCCCUUUAACAGUCUACUGGUGUAGUUGUGAGUUUUUACUGUCCUGCUGAAUGUUUCUCCUGCUUUCUCUCAACCACUGAACACAACCCAUGUUAUGGUCUGAAAGACUUUGUUUCCACCAGGAGGAAGAGGAGGAGCUGAUCUGUUCCUGAUCUCUAAAGAGACUCAAACUUCCUCCUUCAGUUCAGUUCAACUCUCCAACAUUAACUCUGCUCAACAUGGACUAUUAUGGUCUGUCUCUGCUCAUCAUCUCUCUGCUAACAGGUAUCAGCUGUGAUCAACUUACUCCUCAUGAGGAGGAACUCUUCAGUUUAGAAAGCAGCUUUGUUAAUCUGUCCUAUACAUUUUCAAGACGAGCUGCAAAUGAUUAUUUCUUCUGGUAUCGACAAUAUCCUGGAAAACCUCCAGACUUCCUGAUCUCCCACUCAGGAACAGGAGCUCCAAUGUCAACGCCGCUUCCUGGUUUCUCCUUCAAGAUGAAUGAUGAUAAAACCCAGAUGGAUCUGCUGAUCUCCUCUGCUGCAGUGACAGACUCUGCUGUGUACUACUGCGCUGUGAGGCCCACAGUGACAGGAAACACCAGAACCCUGUACAAAAACCUGCAGUACUCCACAGCAGCCACUAGAGGGCCUCACUGCCUGUUAAUCUACUGGUUGUUGAGUCUUUGGACUGAAGACAAAGACAACAGAGACAUGAAGCAGUAAAGAUCAGAGACAGAGCUGCUGAGGAAGCAGAAUGAAUAUAAUUUCCUCUCUGACCGUGUGGGGCUGCCCAGCAGACCCCCCGCUGCUUUGCAAGCUAGAUGUGGCAAUCCGGUGAGGCUCAUUGUGAAGGAGGUACUCCAUCCUCAGUGCAGGUCAUACAUGAUUUCUGGACCUUUUAGCCAUUUGGCUCCCAUACAUCUUUAUUUGGCUGCCUACUAAUUGCAAAUGGAUACAUUUCAAACUCAGGUGAGAAGACAGGAGGAUACUGAUUGACAAUUCCUGCAAAAGCAGAGCACCCAAAGAAGGAUAUUUACCAUAAACCUCCCAUCAGUGCGUCCCAUCGCUGGUAGCCCCAAACCCAAAGCCCUGUUACCUUGUAGCAAAUGAUGCACAGGAUGAAAAAUGAGUGAGGGGAGGGAGACGUUCAAAUGUAGCAGUUUCUGAAACUCUGCACAAGGAACACUGAUGUGUGUCUGAUCAAACUCUGCACAAAAACCUGCAGUACUCCCCAGCAGCCACUAGAGGGCCUCUCUCCCUGUUAAUCCACUGGUUGUUGAGUCUUUGGACUGAAGACAAAGACAACAGAGACAUGAAGCAGUAAAGAUCAGAGACAGAGCUGCUGAGGAAGCAGAAAACUCUCUGAUUGGUUGAGUUGAAGUGGCCCCGCCCACUGACCUUCAGCUCAUCCAAUGACAUAAUUUCUUCCUCCUUCUGCUGCAGUGGAAGAACAUUGUUGAUCUGCAGUGUGGCUCUAAGGACUCCAAAGACAUG